AUUGAACGCUGGCGGCAUGCCUUACACAUGCAAGUCGAACGGCAGCACGGGAGCAAUCCUGGUGGCGAGUGGCGAACGGGUGAGUAAAGUAUCGGAACGUGCCCAGUCGUGGGGGAUAACGUAGCGAAAGGUACGCUAAUACCGCAUACGAUCUAUGGAUGAAAGCGGGGGAUCGCAAGACCUCGCGCGAUUGGAGCGGCGGAUAUCAGAUUAGGUAGUUGGUGGGGUAAAGGCUAACCAAGCCGACGAUCUGUAGCUGGUCUGAGAGGACAACCAGCCACACUGGGACUGAGACACGGCCCAGACUCCUACGGGAGGCAGCAGUGGGGAAUUUUGGACAAUGGGCGAAAGCCUGAUCCAGCCAUGCCGCGUGCAGGAGGAAGGCCUUCGGGUUGUAAACUGCUUUUGUACGGAACGAAAAGGUUUGGCCUAAUAAGCUGAGCUCAUGACGGUACCGUAAGAAUAAGCACCGGCUAACUACGUGCCAGCCGCCGCGGUAA
RNAcentral lists this ribosomal RNA (500 nucleotides) under uncultured bacterium. RNAcentral's name for it is "partial 16S ribosomal RNA". It matches the Rfam family "Bacterial small subunit ribosomal RNA", at positions 29 to 523 of the family's 1533-position model. The record is from RNAcentral.